UGCAAUAUGUGGCCGCGUACUCCAUACGAAGGUAGCAUUGUUGUCAGGUAAAGGAAGGUAAGCUAAAGGACCGGUAGGUAAAAAUCGCUGGAAAGCUACGGCAGGUCCUUUUAACGGAUCAAUUUUAAGUGUCCCGACCACAGCAUGAGUAAGAUAGUUCCACCCUGGCAUGGAAAUAUUUGCGUAUUUGCGAACAAUUGAAUUUCUUCCAUCCGCACCAAUUAAGAGCUUCGUUGUUAAUUCACCAU
Non-coding RNA from Schizosaccharomyces pombe (fission yeast), 248 nucleotides. The record is from the annotation of a GenBank genome assembly. NCBI's taxonomy places the organism in Eukaryota, Fungi, Ascomycota, Schizosaccharomycetes, Schizosaccharomycetales, Schizosaccharomycetaceae.